Molecule: ribosomal RNA, 1346 nt
Filed under: uncultured bacterium
Lineage: Bacteria
Description: bacterial SSU rRNA
Rfam family: Bacterial small subunit ribosomal RNA
Source: RNAcentral
GACGAACGUUGGCGGCGUGCUUGACACAUGCAAGUCGAACGGAAAGGCCCUGCUUUUGUGGGGUGCUCGAGUGGCGAACGGGUGAGUAACACGUGAGUAACCUGCCCUUGACUUUGGGAUAACUUCAGGAAACUGGGGCUAAUACCGGAUAGGAGCUCCUGCUGCAUGGUGGGGGUUGGAAAGUUUCGGCGGUUGGGGAUGGACUCGCGGCUUAUCAGCUUGUUGGUGGGGUAGUGGCUUACCAAGGCUUUGACGGGUAGCCGGCCUGAGAGGGUGACCGGCCACAUUGGGACUGAGAUACGGCCCAGACUCCUACGGGAGGCAGCAGUGGGGAAUAUUGCACAAUGGGCGGAAGCCUGAUGCAGCAACGCCGCGUGCGGGAUGACGGCCUUCGGGUUGUAAACCGCUUUCGCCUGUGACGAAGCGUGAGUGACGGUAAUGGGUAAAGAAGCACCGGCUAACUACGUGCCAGCAGCCGCGGUGAUACGUAGGGUGCGAGCGUUGUCCGGAUUUAUUGGGCGUAAAGGGCUCGUAGGUGGUUGAUCGCGUCGGAAGUGUAAUCUUGGGGCUUAACCCUGAGCGUGCUUUCGAUACGGGUUGACUUGAGGAAGGUAGGGGAGAAUGGAAUUCCUGGUGGAGCGGUGGAAUGCGCAGAUAUCAGGAGGAACACCAGUGGCGAAGGCGGUUCUCUGGGCCUUUCCUGACGCUGAGGAGCGAAAGCGUGGGGAGCGAACAGGCUUAGAUACCCUGGUAGUCCACGCUGUAAACGGUGGGUACUAGGUGUGGGGUCCAUUCCACGGGUUCCGUGCCGUAGCUAACGCUUUAAGUACCCCGCCUGGGGAGUACGGCCGCAAGGCUAAAACUCAAAGGAAUUGACGGGGCCCCGCACAAGCGGCGGAGCAUGCGGAUUAAUUCGAUGCAACGCGUAGAACCUUACCUGGGUUUGACAUGGAUCGGGAGUGCUCAGAGAUGGGUGUGCCUCUUUUGGGGUCGGUUCACAGGUGGUGCAUGGCUGUCGUCAGCUCGUGUCGUGAGAUGUUGGGUUAAGUCCCGCAACGAGCGCAACCCUUGUUCACUGUUGCCAGCACGUUAUGGUGGGGACUCAGUGGAGACCGCCGGGGUCAACUCGGAGGAAGGUGGGGAUGACGUCAAGUCAUCAUGCCCCUUAUGUCCAGGGCUUCACGCAUGCUACAAUGGCUGGUACAGAGAGUGGCGAGCCUGUGAGGGUGAGCGAAUCUCGGAAAGCCGGUCUCAGUUCGGAUUGGGGUCUGCAACUCGACCUCAUGAAGUCGGAGUCGCUAGUAAUCGCAAAUCAGCAACGCUGCGGUGAAUACGUUCCCGGGGCU